CGAAUAUAAAAGAACCUAACUUAGUCCAUUUGACAACCAAGCCAUACUUUCAGCGUUGAAACAUAUUUCAAGUGAUAUUCCAUUCUCAUAUAACCAAAUUUCAUUUCAACCUCAAACUGUUUUGAAAUCGAAUGGAUCCAACCUAACAGAAUACUGAAAAAUCCUUCAACAACUCAAGAUUACAUUUAUUUAAUUGACUAUAAAUGAAUAACAAAUUGUUCCAUUUAGAAACAAAGAGAAAGCAAAUUAUUCCGUCUUAAUAGCCUUAAGCUGAAUAAUCAAAAUUUUGAGAACACAAAUUCAUUCAAACCAAAAGCACUAAGGUAGAACACCAAAAAUUCUUGAAUUAAUUAAAGAAAGGAGGUAGAAACGGAUCUUUAACAAACAAACAAUCGGAUCAAAUCUUAGGCCGCGAUCGGAACCUCGAGGAACAAACCUCGACCUCAACUGCAUCUCAGCCACGCCUGAACUUGAAAACCAUUUUUUGCAGUCUUUAUGCUUUCUUCUCUGUUUUCGGAUUUUGGUUUGAAAAUCGUCCCAAGCUCUCAAUCUCGUUCCUUUCUUCAACAAUUCUUAAUAAUUCUCAAACUAAGAAUUGGAGCAUGGCUCGAUUUUGUGUUGAAGAGAGAUCUCUUAUCUUGUUUUCUUUUAGUCUGAACGUGAACCAAGAAAAGUUUGGGGAGGGGGUCCUUUUUUGUAUAAACAGCGGAUUGUAUACUUAGGGAUGUUGUUAGAUGUAGGUAUUAUUUUUUUUUUUUUUAGCUUAACUGCCAAAUUAUAUUGAUUUCGAAAAAUAUACUAUGUAUUUCUAUGGUAGUAGUAUGGACUCCUACUAAUC
This 838-nucleotide long non-coding RNA is filed under the name Nicotiana benthamiana. Its description in RNAcentral is "long non-coding RNA (NBEN_LNC031412)". Lineage: Eukaryota; Viridiplantae; Streptophyta; Magnoliopsida; Solanales; Solanaceae. The record is from RNAcentral.